UACAAUAACGCUGAUUUCGUUCUAUUCGGUUCUGUGCAUAUCUACCAGUUUCUAUGCGUAGCUUGUGGGAUGAUAACCUUAAUCUGGACAGUGAAUUCCGAAGUGUGCUAGGCAACACAUUCAGCAUAUCAAAGUGUUUUUGAAGUUCUGAAGGUGUUCUACCUAAUAUAACCAUAUCAUCAGCAAAAAGCAUCAAAAUGAAGGUGAAUGACCCAGACUGAUCACAAUGCAGACGACCGUUAGCGACUCUCAUUGACGUGGAUUUACAAAGGUCAAGGAGUUUGAGACCAUGUGCAUUUGUAUUCUUAUCCAUAGAGGCCCUCGGUAAGGGGAAAUCAGUUUGUCCCUGCACAGGCCAUGAACGUUCCAGGAG
This is a long non-coding RNA of Ruditapes philippinarum (Manila clam), 373 nucleotides long. RefSeq lists it as uncharacterized. The record is from RefSeq and is a predicted model, not a curated record. The transcript is spliced from 4 exons. NCBI's taxonomy places the organism in Eukaryota, Metazoa, Mollusca, Bivalvia, Venerida, Veneridae.